UUCGGUGAUGGAGGAGAUUAGUCUGCAAUGGAUGAUGAUGGUAGGUUGUGUGUGUGUGAUGGAUGAAUCUGGGGUGUGUGUGAUGGAUGAAUCUGAGGUGUGCGUGAUGGAUGUUGUUAAGUGUGCCGCGGGUUGGGCAGAGUCGAGGGAUGGAGAGGCAGGUUUGCCAUGAACCUUGCAAAGGCCGAGAGAAAACCAAAUGAAGAUAGGAGAUGUUAGUUUAUGACUGAGAAUAUGGUUAUGGUCACGGGUUGUGCAUGAUGAGGAUGGAGAUUAAUUUUUGCCUUCUCUGUUUUUGAUUUCUGUUUGUGGAAACAAUGAUAGAUAGUAGGGAUUUCGGGGGAGAAUUGGUGUAGGAAAGGGUAGAGAUGUUGUCCGGGAAUGAUGGGAAAAUGUGGUUGGGGUUGGAGGCAUGGCGAAUGGUUUCUUUAUUUGAUUCAACAGUUGAAUUUUUUCAGAGAGGUGAUUA
RNAcentral lists this long non-coding RNA (469 nucleotides) under Vigna radiata. RNAcentral's name for it is "long non-coding RNA (VRAD_LNC013995)". Lineage: Eukaryota; Viridiplantae; Streptophyta; Magnoliopsida; Fabales; Fabaceae. The record is from RNAcentral.